CCAUUUUAACUGAACAGAGCAGGAGGAGGAAAACUGAAGGCUGAGGCAGGACUGACUUAAGUCCAGAAUAUGAGUGAUUGUGUGAAGGAAAAGGACAGAGCAGAGUGUCCAGGAUCCAGCUGUCUGUCUAUGAAGAGUGACUGGUCCAAAGAGUUGAAUCCUCCAGCCUUCAGUAAUGAACCUGGACCCUCAGACACAAAAGAUCAGGACCACAGACUGAGA
Molecule: long non-coding RNA, 222 nt
Organism: Toxotes jaculatrix (banded archerfish)
Lineage: Eukaryota; Metazoa; Chordata; Actinopteri; Toxotidae
Exons: 3
Source: RefSeq, a predicted model, not a curated record